UACGUAGGGAGCGAGCGUUGUCCGGAUUUAUUGGGCGUAAAGAGCGCGUAGGCGGCUUGGUAAGCCGGAUGUAAAACCCCCGAGCUCAACUCGGGGCGGCCAUUCGGAACUGCCAUGGCUAGAGUCUGGUAGGGGAACACGGAAUACCUGGUGUAGCGGUGAAAUGCUUAGAUAUCAGGUGGAACACCAGUGGCGAAGGCGGUGUUCUGGGCCAGUACUGACGCUGAGGCGCGAAAGCGUGGGGAGCGAACAGG
Molecule: ribosomal RNA, 254 nt
Filed under: uncultured prokaryote
Description: partial 16S ribosomal RNA
Rfam family: Bacterial small subunit ribosomal RNA
Source: RNAcentral